GGAACGGGCCUUUCAGGCAUCCUCUCCUAAAACUUCAAAGCUGCCCUUCCGGGUGGCUUUUUUUUUGCUUUUUU
RNAcentral lists this small RNA (74 nucleotides) under Sphingobium sp. C100. RNAcentral's name for it is "Makes More Granules Regulator RNA (mmgR)". It matches the Rfam family "Makes More Granules Regulator RNA (mmgR)". Rfam says of the family: SuhB later renamed mmgR (makes more granules regulator) was a putative non-coding RNA found multiple times in the Agrobacterium tumefaciens genome and related alpha-proteobacteria. Lineage: Bacteria; Pseudomonadati; Pseudomonadota; Alphaproteobacteria; Sphingomonadales; Sphingobiaceae. The record is from Rfam by way of RNAcentral.